This is a long non-coding RNA of Vespa crabro (European hornet), 2231 nucleotides long. RefSeq lists it as uncharacterized. The transcript is spliced from 3 exons. The record is from RefSeq and is a predicted model, not a curated record. Lineage: Eukaryota; Metazoa; Arthropoda; Insecta; Hymenoptera; Vespidae.
CAACCUGUAAAAUUCCUAUGAAUGAGCGCAACCUCCUCUUCUUCUUCUUCUUCUUAGUCUUCGUCGUCUUCGUCGUCUUCGUUGUCGUCGUCCUUCUCUGUUUCUCUUUCUUUCUCUCUCUCUCUCUCUCUCUCUCUCUCUUCCUCUGGUCACCGAGCUCUCGCACGACCAUGCGCGCGCGUGCUCAGGCUCGCUCUCCGACCUCGUCCGUUAUUAAAUUCCAUGACCUCAUGUGGAGUAGUCGGUAUAUCCUCAUGAAGGAAACAGCCCGAGUAUAGUCGAUGCCGAGCUGCCACGUGACACCUCGUUCGAUCACUUAUGUAUCUACCACGUAGGAAUACCAUAAUGAUCAUCCUAAUCGAGUGGGAUCACUCUCGAAGGAAGAUUUGAACAUUCUUCUAACACAGUUAGAUACCGUAAUCGUUCCGUAUCCAAACCGAUAUUGUAAUAUCAAUAAUUGCGAUCAACUAGCAAUGUAUUCCCGAGGGAUAAAAAGAGAAACAUUUCCACUUGUUCGAAGAUUGAUACCAAGCACGUAGCACUAACUCGUUAUAUACGUAUGUAGAGUUUCUUACGUAACGAUCAGCUUUCUAUUUAUAUUGCGCAUUAAGUUUAAGUUUUACAAGCACAAACGUACCGAUAACUAUCGUCAUUACGACUACGACGAAUGAUCGGGGAGAAUCGGAAAGGAGUGGGGUGGGGGGUUGGGGGAAGAAAAAACAGAAGAAAGGAAAAAAGAAGAACUAAGGGAAGAAAAAAAAAGAAGAAAGGAAAAAGAACGAAAGAGGGAAAAAAGAAGAAAGAUCGCAGAAGUAUUGUAGAAGCGCGUCCGGCUUGGCGCGUAACGUUAAAGGAGGUCGUGGCGCGCGCGCGCCCUCGAGCAACACGAGAUUAGCCGAAGCGCGUCGAGAGCAAAUACGGCACGUCGAUCUUGAAGGUUGCAGUAGUCGGUGCGCGCUAAUGCGCGCGAGACUACAUCCGCGUGUCGUAUUGGUACGCGCGCGCAGGUGCGGGCGGUCGCCGAUCGCUCCAACGAUCGCAGCCAUUCUUUUUUCGAUUUACAACUCGAACUAUGAGUUCUCGGCGGCCUUGCGAGAUGUCUCAAUUUUCUUACCGCUAACGAACGGAAAUAUACCCAUACAUACCUACGUGAUCUUCACCUACCGUCAACAAAGACCAAUGACUUAACGAGAUGGAGAAGAAGAGAGGAGACACGGGGAAGACUACGAUCACGAUGACGACGACGACGACUUUAGAAUCGAGCGAUAGAAGGUGCUCUCUCGAGGUCGCUGUCCACCCUGAGGUCACCCUCCUAUACCCACCGACCGAACAAUAUCCGAUGGGAACCCUUUAGGAAGGAGAGGAGGAAUGGAGAAGCAGAAAAAGAAAAAGAGAGAGAGAAAAAGAGAGAGGGCAAGAGAUACGUGACAUCCAGAAGAGUAAGAGCGAGAAAGAGAUAGCCGAGGGACAAUGCGAGACUUUGUUCAGAGGCACGCAGAACACCCGUGCUGCAUGUAGAGUCUCUCUGAUAGAGGGGAGGAAGACGUCGACGUCGACAUCGACGACGCGACGGCGACGCAAAGACGACGACAACGAAGACGACGAAGAAGACAACGACGACGAAGACGACGACUACGACGAAGACGAUGAUAGUGGAGGCGACGACGGAGACGUCGUCUGAAGUCUCGGUGAACCCGCGCAGCGAAUCGAUUUUACGAGAGUCUUUUUUUCACAAGGGUGAAGAAGGAAGAGGAUGGUUAAAACGAAAUGGAUGGCUUGUGAGAGGAUUCACUCUCUCUCUCUCUCUCUCUCUCUCUUUCUUCUUCUCAUUCUCUCCUUUUUAUCCCACUACGAUCCCUUUCAAUUCGGUUACGAUCUUUGGAUAAGUCCGUUGAAAAUCAGAAAAACCCCGUGGACGAAUCGAAUGUCUUUACAUAUUCUUUGAGUAUCAAACGUAGAAAAAAAAAAAAAAAAGAAAAAAAUAAUCUGAUAUAUCAUGUCUGAGCGCCAUGUUGUUAAAGGUUACAUCACGUGACUCAACCAUCUUGAUUAUUUUUCUCAUUAACAAAGUACAUAAAUAAUAGAUAUUUUAGGAUAAUCUUUGUGGAUAAUCUCGAAUCCCGGAAACAUAUCAGAAAGAAAGAAAGAAAGAAAAAAAAAAUGCAUAUCUACGAAUUCUAUUAGAUUUACUAUUUUCUUUUUUAUGUUAUUUUUUUUUUUUUCAUUUAUCA